This 216-nucleotide long non-coding RNA is filed under the name Lathyrus oleraceus (garden pea). Its description in RNAcentral is "Pisum sativum (pea) long non-coding RNA (PSAT_LNC018221)". Lineage: Eukaryota; Viridiplantae; Streptophyta; Magnoliopsida; Fabales; Fabaceae. The record is from RNAcentral.
AACAAGUAGUUCGGGCUAGGCUGGAUCAACAGGAUUCUGUCAACAACAACAUUCAAAACAUGUUAUCCCAACUGCUCCAAAGGAUGCCUCCACCCUUAAACCCUUAGGCACCUAGGCUAAUUGUUUGUUGCUUUCUCUAUUUUGAUAUUUCUUUUGAUAUCUGCCUUCUGUGUUGCUUAUCUGUAACUUCUCUUUUUAUCAAUAUCAACCUUUUUU